CAAUAUAGAUGCUUUUCGUAUAAUUCCGGGAAUUGGCCCGGAAGUCUCUACGAGGUCACCGUAAUGAUCUGGCUACGAAAAGAAGAC
RNAcentral lists this non-coding RNA (87 nucleotides) under Paenibacillus ihumii. RNAcentral describes it as "Purine riboswitch". The stretch from base 13 to 84 matches the Rfam family "Purine riboswitch aptamer", at positions 18 to 91 of the family's 102-position model. From Rfam's summary of the family: Riboswitches are metabolite binding domains within certain messenger RNAs that serve as precision sensors for their corresponding targets. Allosteric rearrangement of mRNA structure is mediated by ligand binding, and this results in modulation of gene expression. A class of riboswitches that selectively recognises guanine and becomes saturated at concentrations as low as 5 nM. Lineage: Bacteria; Bacillati; Bacillota; Bacilli; Caryophanales; Paenibacillaceae. The record is from RNAcentral.